AGAGUUUGAUCAUGGCUCAGAUUGAACGNCUGGCGGCAGUGCUUAACACAUGCAAGUCGAGCGGGGGAUGUUGCUUCGGUAACUGACCUAGCGGCGGACGGGUGAGUAAUACUUAGGAACUCUGCCUAUUAAUGGGGGACAACAUCUCGAAAGGGAUGCUAAUACCGCAUACGCCCUACGGGGGAAAGCAGGGGAUCACUUGUGACCUUGUGUUAAUAGAUGAGCCUAAGUCGGAUUAGCUAGUUGGUGGGGUAAAGGCUUACCAAGGUGACGAUCUGUAGCGGGUCUGAGAGGAUGAUCCGCCACACUGGGACUGAGACACGGCCCAGACUCCUACGGGAGGCAGCAGUGGGGAAUAUUGGACAAUGGGGGGAACCCUGAUCCAGCCAUGCCGCGUGUGUGAAGAAGGCCUUAUGGUUGUAAAGCACUUUAAGCGAGGAGGAGGCUCUUCUAGUUAAUACCUAGGAUGAGUGGACGUUACUCGCAGAAUAAGCACCGGCUAACUCUGUGCCAGCAGCCGCGGUAAUACAGAGGGUCCGAGCGUUAAUCGGAUUUACUGGGCGUAAAGCGUGCGUAGGCGGCUUUUUAAGUCGGAUGUGAAAUCCCCGAGCUUAACUUGGGAAUUGCAUUCGAUACUGGGAAGCUAGAGUAUGGGAGAGGAUGGUAGAAUUCCAGGUGUAGCGGUGAAAUGCGUAGAGAUCUGGAGGAAUACCGAUGGCGAAGGCAGCCAUCUGGCCUAAUACUGACGCUGAGGUACGAAAGCAUGGUGAGCAAACAGGAUUAGAUACACUGGUAGUCCAUGCCGUAAACGAUGUCUACUAGCCGUUGGGGCCUUUGAGGCUUUAGUGGCGCAGCUAACGCGAUAAGUAGACACGCCAUGGGGAGUACGGUCGCAAGACUAAAACUCAAAUGAUUGACGGAAGGGCGAAUUCG
This 933-nucleotide ribosomal RNA is filed under the name uncultured bacterium. Its description in RNAcentral is "bacterial SSU rRNA". It matches the Rfam family "Bacterial small subunit ribosomal RNA", at positions 8 to 929 of the family's 1533-position model. The record is from RNAcentral.